UACAGAGGGUGCGAGCGUUAAUCGGAAUUACUGGGCGUAAAGGGCGCGUAGGUGGUCUGUCAAGUAAGAUGUGAAAUCCCUGGGCUCAACCUAGGAAUUGCAUCUUAGACUGGUGGACUGGAGUACGGUAGAGGGUAGCGGAAUUUCCGGUGUAGCGGUGAAAUGCGUAGAGAUCGGAAGGAACACCAGUGGCGAAGGCGGCUACCUGGACUGUUACUGACACUGAGGCGCGAGAGCGUGGGGAGCGAACAGG
RNAcentral lists this ribosomal RNA (253 nucleotides) under uncultured bacterium. Its description in RNAcentral is "partial 16S ribosomal RNA". It matches the Rfam family "Bacterial small subunit ribosomal RNA", at positions 524 to 776 of the family's 1533-position model. The record is from RNAcentral.